This 1094-nucleotide long non-coding RNA is filed under the name Pan troglodytes (chimpanzee). Its description in RNAcentral is "long non-coding RNA NONPTRT002289". The record is from RNAcentral. Lineage: Eukaryota; Metazoa; Chordata; Mammalia; Primates; Hominidae.
GAGAAAGAAACUUAGUAACAUGCUUUGGGAGGAAGAAAACUCCAAUAAAGUCUGUCUCAACAGAGGUCACCUCCCACCCAUAAGACACGGAAAUUCCAGUUCCUGCUGGGAGUUCUGGUGGCCAUCCUUAUCCCUAGUCUCUUGUCAUUGUUCAAGGAUUAGGGAAAAUACCUCUCAACCUGCUAGAUUUAAGCAGCAAUAAAUGGGAUUGUUUAUAGGGUCAGUGGGCCCAGGAUACUAAGGGACAGACAUCAGUCAAAAGCAUUUUCCAAAAAAAUCCUUUAUAUUUUAAUCAAGUCACUAUAAAGACAUGAUGUGUCCUAGUUUCUCAGAUGUUCAACCCAACAGUCUCUUUCUUUAACUUCUGGGCUGCCUUUCAGAACUGAUCAGAGUAGAGAUUUGAAGAUCCCCUGUUGGAGUAUCCAACACAAAAGACUGUCUGGACUCAGGCACCGUACACAUACCCUGUCACUGCUCCUCUCCAUUGAGGUAAUCUGUUUUUUCUCUAAUCAUCUCCAAAUGAUUGAUAAUGUUGAUACCCCAUAUAAGUUUUUCUUUAUCAUUUGGACAUUAAAAGGUGAGUUUCCUGUGUUCUCUAAAAGAGACAAUAGAAAGCAAUCCUUUGCUCUACUUUAGACCUUUAUUAUUACUUAAUUAAAUUAUAUCUCACAGGAAAUGUUAAAUCAUUUCAAAUAAACAAAAAAUCCCCCAGUGAGCUUCUGUGCUUUUGUCCAAGUGUCACUGGCACACAAACUCCAGUAGUUCCUACAGUUUUAUGUGUCUCAUGGAUCCCAGGAAUGUGACUUAUGUCUAUAAUGCUGUUCUAUAGUGGGAGUGGCAAACUUUUUCUGUUAAGAGCUAAAUAGUAAAUAUUUUCUUCGGCUUUGUGGGCAGUAUGGUCUAUGUAUCAACUACUCAACCGUGCUGUAAUAGUAGUGUAAAAGCAGUCAUAGACAAUACAAAUUCCAAUAAAACUUUAUUUACAAAAACAGGUGGCAGACUGGUUUCAGCCCAUGAGCUGUAGUGUGUUAACCUUUGCUCUCUGGCCCUGUGAAUUCUUCAUGUUCACACAGCAUCUUGAAGAAAUGAGGCCC